GUGAAACUUUGGCAGCACAUAUCCUAAAAUCAUAACAAUACAGAGAAGAUUAAUAUGGCACUUGUGCAAAGGAUGACACAUAAUUAAUCUCUUAUUUUAU
RNAcentral lists this small nuclear RNA (100 nucleotides) under Microtus ochrogaster (prairie vole). The record is from RNAcentral. Lineage: Eukaryota; Metazoa; Chordata; Mammalia; Rodentia; Cricetidae.